Labrus mixtus (cuckoo wrasse) is the source of this 537-nucleotide long non-coding RNA. RefSeq lists it as uncharacterized. The transcript has 3 exons. NCBI's taxonomy places the organism in Eukaryota, Metazoa, Chordata, Actinopteri, Labriformes, Labridae. The record is from RefSeq and is a predicted model, not a curated record.
UAGUUCAUAUCAGCAGAAAGGUCCAGCGAGACGGUCGCUGACUUAAGUGGAAUCAGCUGUUGUCGACUGAUCUCUUUAAUGAGUAACAGAGCCCGUUUAAUCAGUCACAGUUCUUCUGAACACACAGAGGAAGGAAGAUUUGAGUCUCAGCUUUAAAGAGAGGGAGGUCACUCAAACCCGAGAAAGAGGAGUAACUCCAGACCGUUCCAGAGAGGGAGAGCCAGAGACGCUUCAUUUCCUCAUUCUUUCAUUCAGUUCGUGUAAUGCUGGAAAACAAAUUAAAUCAGCUGAUCUGGAACCCAAAACUCAGAGUUUCCCACCCGAGGGUAAAUCAACUCGACCUGCUUUCUGAAACGGGGCCCCUGUUCACCCAAAGGCCCAGCUAGGGACAAGAGAUGGACAUGAGCAACAGCUACAAACCAUAGACUGUAAAUACUUCUACAAACUCUAUGUGACGCACACCACUUUCAUGUUUUGUUUUGAAACUAGAUUUAAGUUCCUGUUCCUUUUUCAGUGGUUACGUUGAUGUCCUAACAG